CCCUUAGAUGUUCUGGGCAGCACGCGCGCUACAAUGGUCUUCGCAAACGGAUGCAUUCUCGAAGGAGGAUGCCAAUCUUGGAAUCUAUGCCUUGGUCGGGACAGUUGCUUGCAAUUUUUCGACUCGAACCAGGAAUUCCUUGUAAUCGUGAUUCAUCACAUCACGAUGAAUACGUCCCUGCCCUUUGUACACACCGCCCGUCGCUCCUACCGAUCGAAGAGUUAGGUGAAUUGUUUUGAUCGAUAAGAUUUGACUAUGGUCAACUCUCGUUGUGAAAUUCUGUGAAUCUGACUGUUUAGAGGAAGGAAAAGUCGUAAC
Molecule: ribosomal RNA, 318 nt
Filed under: uncultured eukaryote
Lineage: Eukaryota
Description: partial 18S ribosomal RNA
Rfam family: Eukaryotic small subunit ribosomal RNA
Source: RNAcentral